This 80-nucleotide transfer RNA is filed under the name Dictyoglomus thermophilum H-6-12. Its description in RNAcentral is "tRNA-Pro". It matches the Rfam family "tRNA". Rfam says of the family: Transfer RNA (tRNA) molecules are approximately 80 nucleotides in length. Lineage: Bacteria; Pseudomonadati; Dictyoglomota; Dictyoglomia; Dictyoglomales; Dictyoglomaceae. The record is from RNAcentral.
UCGGGGCAUGGCGCAGUUGGUUUAGCGCGCCUGGUUUGGGACCAGGAGGUCGCUGGUUCAAGUCCAGCUGCCCCGACCAG